GCCAGGUUGCCCGAGCGGCCAAAGGGAGCGGUCUGUAAAACCGCCGGCACUGCCUUCCAAGGUUCGAAUCCUUGACCUGGCA
Molecule: transfer RNA, 82 nt
Filed under: Haloactinospora alba
Lineage: Bacteria; Bacillati; Actinomycetota; Actinomycetes; Streptosporangiales; Nocardiopsidaceae
Description: tRNA-Tyr
Rfam family: tRNA
About the family: Transfer RNA (tRNA) molecules are approximately 80 nucleotides in length.
Source: RNAcentral